CUGAAUGUGGAUGCAGUGCCCAUGCAGUGGAUGCAGUGUCCCAGAAGUUGGAUCUAGUGCCCCCAAGGGUGGACGCAGUGCCCCCAAAGAUGAAUGCAGUACCAUCUGAAGGAGGAUGCAGUGUGUGUGAAUGUGGAUGCAACGUCCCAGAGGACGAUGCAUUGUCCCUGAAGUUGGAUGUGGUGGGCACAAAUAUGAAUGCAGUACCUUCUGAAGGUGGAUGCAGUGCCGGCGCAUUGCAUUCAGUGUUCCUGAAGGUGGAUGCAGUGCACGCGAAAAUGAAACCAGUACCUUCUGAAGGUGGAUGCACUGACCUUGAAGUGGAUGCAGUGUCUCUGCAGUGGUUGCUGUGUCCCCGGCAUUGUCCUGGAAUGUGGAUGCAGUGCCAAUGCAGUGGAUGCAGUGUGCCUGCAGAGCCACUACAGCUGGAUGCAGUGUUGCUGCAGUGGUUGCAGUGCCACCUGCAUUGUCCCUGAAUGUGGAUGCAGUUCCCAUGCAGUGGAUGUAGUGUCCCACAAGGUGCUUGCUGUAUGUUGUGAUGGAGGAUGCAGUGCCCUUGAGGGUGGAUGCAUUGAUUUGGCAGUGGUUGCAGUGCACCCUGUGGUGUCCCUGAAUGUGGAUGCUGUG
RNAcentral lists this long non-coding RNA (627 nucleotides) under Equus caballus (horse). Its description in RNAcentral is "lncRNA (ENSECAG00000060096.1)". Lineage: Eukaryota; Metazoa; Chordata; Mammalia; Perissodactyla; Equidae. The record is from RNAcentral.